Molecule: small RNA, 120 nt
Filed under: human gut metagenome
Description: ydaO/yuaA leader
Rfam family: c-di-AMP riboswitch aptamer (ydaO/yuaA leader)
About the family: This family represents a conserved RNA structure found upstream of the ydaO and yuaA genes in Bacillus subtilis and related genes in other bacteria.
Source: RNAcentral
UUAAAACGCUGAAUAUCAGAGCCAUCUGAUAGCGGGAGAACCAUCUUUGGGGUGAAUUCGCGUCUGCGAUAGGGGACUUCCCUCUCCGAACCCGGCAGCUAAUCUCGUAAGCGUGGGGAA